RNAcentral lists this non-coding RNA (45 nucleotides) under Trichobilharzia regenti. The record is from RNAcentral. Lineage: Eukaryota; Metazoa; Platyhelminthes; Trematoda; Strigeidida; Schistosomatidae.
AUCCAACCGACGGGUCCGAAAUAGGACGAAAUGCACAUCCUGGAU